AAACAGGAUUAGAUACCCUGGUUAGUCAACGCCUUAAACGAUGGAUACUAGGUGUCGGGGGGCCUUACCCCUUCGGUGCCGCAGUUAACGCGGUAAAGUAUCCCGCCUGGGGAGUACGGUCGCAAAGCUGAAACUCAAAGGAAUUGACGGGGGCCCGCACAAGCGGUGGAGUAUGUGGUUUAAUUCGAUGCAACGCGAAGAACCUUACCUGGACUUGACAUCCUAGGAACCCUCUAGAAAUAGAGGGGUGCCCUUCGGGGAAUCUAGUGACAGGUGCUGCAUGGCUGUCGUUCAGCUCGUGCCGUGAGGUGUUGGGUUAAGUCCCGCAACGAGCGCAACCCCUAUCGUCAGUUGCCAUCACAUAAUGGUGGGCACUCUGGUGAGACUGCCCGGGUUAACCGGGAGGAAGGUGGGGACGACGUCAAGUCAUCAUGGCCCUUACGUCCAGGGCUACACACGUACUUCAAUGGUGGAUACAAAGGGUAGCGAAGCCGCGAGGUGGAGCCAAUCCCAGAAAGUCCAUCCCAGUCCGAAUCGCAGUCUGCAACUCGACUGUGUGAAGUUGGAAUCGCUAGUAAUCCCGGAUCAGCAUGCCGGGGUGAUACGUUCCCGGGCCUUGUACACACCGCCCGUCACACCACGAAGCUGGUUCUACCCGAAGUCGACGGACUACCUUAGGGAG
Molecule: ribosomal RNA, 682 nt
Filed under: uncultured organism
Description: bacterial SSU rRNA
Rfam family: Bacterial small subunit ribosomal RNA
Source: RNAcentral